AGCGAACGCUGGCGGCAUGCUUAACACAUGCAAGUCGCGCGGGUGGAUUCGGACAUCUGCGGCGGACGGGUGGGUAUCGCGUAGGGAUGUAUCCAGAGGUGGGGAUCUACUUUGGGAAACUGGAGAUCAUACGGCAAGGGACCUGUGGGUCAAAGACUUAGGGCGCCUUAGGGGCAGCCGGCGUCCGAUUAGGUAGUUGGUGUGGUAAAGGCCUACCAAGCCUGCGAUCGGUAGCUUGUCUGCGAGGACGGUCAGCCACUCUGGGGCUGGGACGCGGACCAGACUCCUGCAGGAGGGAGCAGUGGGGGAUAUUGGACUAUCGGCGCGAGCCAGAACCAGCUAUGCCGCGUGAGUGAAGAAGUUCUGCAGGAUGUAAAGCCCUUUAGGCGGGGGCGGUGAUGACGGUACCCGCAGAAGAAGCCCCGGCUAACUUCGUG
This 437-nucleotide ribosomal RNA is filed under the name uncultured bacterium. RNAcentral describes it as "partial 16S ribosomal RNA". It matches the Rfam family "Bacterial small subunit ribosomal RNA", at positions 28 to 507 of the family's 1533-position model. The record is from RNAcentral.